AACGAACGCUGGCGGCGCGCCUAACACAUGCAAGUCGAACGAGAAUCCGGGGCAACCCGGUAGUAAAGUGGCAAACGGGUGAGGAAUACAUGGGUAACCUACCCUUGAGAAGGGAAUAACCCGCCGAAAGGUGAGCUAAUACCCUAUACGCUAUCUUUUUUUCGAAAGGAUAGGAAAGCCGGGUCGAGGACCUGGUACUCAAGGAGGGGCUCAUGUCCUAUCAGCUUGUUGGUGGGGUAACGGCCUACCAAGGCUACGACGGGUAGCUGGUCUGAGAGGAUGAUCAGCCACACUGGCACUGAGAUACGGGCCAGACUCCUACGGGAGGCAGCAGUGAGGAAUAUUGCGCAAUGGGCGAAAGCCUGACGCAGCGACGCCGCGUGGGGGAUGAAGGUCUUCGGGUCGUAAAGCUCUGUGGGGAGAGAAGAAUAAAGCCUGUGAAGAGCGGGCCUUGACGGUAUCUCCCUAGCAAGCACCGGCUAACUCCGUGCCAGCAGCCGCGGUAAAGU
This 509-nucleotide ribosomal RNA is filed under the name uncultured bacterium. RNAcentral's name for it is "bacterial SSU rRNA". It matches the Rfam family "Bacterial small subunit ribosomal RNA", at positions 29 to 526 of the family's 1533-position model. The record is from RNAcentral.